This 783-nucleotide unclassified non-coding RNA is filed under the name Hevea brasiliensis (rubber tree). The record is from RNAcentral. Lineage: Eukaryota; Viridiplantae; Streptophyta; Magnoliopsida; Malpighiales; Euphorbiaceae.
UUGUAAUACAGGUUUUGUAGUCUUUUAAGGUACAUUUUCUGUAGGGAUAGUAGCUGAUAUUCUCCCUCUUUCAAUUAGAAUAUUACAAAAUUAACAACAAAAUCAAGUACUGGUAACAGAAACUACACUCAAGAUGUGAAAAAUAUAUAAAAAAAAGUGUGAAGGUUUAACAUUUUCACAGUAAGAGGAGAAAUGCCAUAAGGAGAAAGACUGCCUGAGAGAUUAGACCAAGCUGAAAAAGUACGUUUGCUGAACUAUUAUCCGGUGUAAAGCUUCCCUCCAGGUUGUUUGUGGUCAAAAUUACGACUAUCCAGUUGUCGUCAGACCCAAUUCCAACACCAGUAAACUUGGUAUCAUUCAGAGAAGUAGCAUACUGGGACAUUGUAUAGUUGGAAAGAACGAGGUCUGGGACAAGGUUGGGAACACAAGCAGGCAUUAUCGCUGCAUCUCUGGUGGUUGUGACAUUCAAUUUGCACUUGGAUAAUAGAUUAGGAUAGUCAGAGAACUGAGGUUCAGUGCCAGGUACAGUAUUGGCGCCUGUUGUGUUUGUACAGGGUUGAUCUUUAAAUUGGUCAGCAAUUUCAUCAGCAAGGCAUUUUGCUUUGUCAUUCUCGCGCAGAGUUGUCAAAUUUAGGGUUGUCCUGUAGCUGUUAAUACUUCUAAAAAGGUUGUCUUCCUCAUCGUCAGAUUUGACAAAGGAGAAGAGAAGGGAAUUGAGAAGAAGAAGAGAAAGUAAAAGAUAACGUGGAAGAAACGCCAUUGUUGAUCCUCUACUUGUGAUUG